UUCUGACAAUUCAUUCUAGUUUCAAAUCUUAUGUUAUGGCUCCCUAACUUAAAAGUUGCUGAAGCAGUUACUUCAACACUUUUAUAGAUUCUGAGAUUUGUGCAAGAAAUUGAAGAGUCCAAUAAGGAAUAACAACUUGAAACUCGAAUUUGAUGCAUUUUUGCCUGAUAUCAAGUUAUGGAUUUUGUUUUGCAAGGCCGAAAUCGGAGAUUUUGGGACAUAAAUUAUCAUCUAAG
Long non-coding RNA from Quercus lobata, 236 nucleotides. RefSeq lists it as uncharacterized. NCBI's taxonomy places the organism in Eukaryota, Viridiplantae, Streptophyta, Magnoliopsida, Fagales, Fagaceae. The transcript has 3 exons. The record is from RefSeq and is a predicted model, not a curated record.